GAUGAACGCUGGCGGCGUGCCUAAUACAUGCAAGUCGAGCGAACAGACGAGGAGCUUGCUCCUCUGACGUUAGCGACGGACGGGUGAGUAACACGUGGAUAACCUACCUAUAAGACUGGGAUAACUUCGGGAAACCGGAGCUAAUACCGGAUAAUAUAUUGAACCGCAUGGUUCAAUAGUGAAAGACGGUUUUGCUGUCACUUAUAGAUGGAUCCGCGCCGCAUUAGCUAGUUGGUAAGGUAACGGCUUACCAAGGCAACGAUGCGUAGCCGACCUGAGAGGGUGAUCGGCCAAACUGGAACUGAGACACGGUCCAGACUCCUACGGGAGGCAGCAGUAGGGAAUCUUCCGCAAUGGGCGAAAGCCUGACGGAGCAACGCCGCGUGAGUGAUGAAGGUCUUCGGAUCGUAAAACUCUGUUAUUAGGGAAGAACAAAUGUGUAAGUAACUAUGCACGUCUUGACGGUACCUAAUCAGAAAGCCACGGCUAACUACGUG
Molecule: ribosomal RNA, 497 nt
Filed under: uncultured bacterium
Lineage: Bacteria
Description: partial 16S ribosomal RNA
Rfam family: Bacterial small subunit ribosomal RNA
Source: RNAcentral